This 440-nucleotide ribosomal RNA is filed under the name uncultured bacterium. RNAcentral's name for it is "partial 16S ribosomal RNA". It matches the Rfam family "Bacterial small subunit ribosomal RNA", at positions 338 to 795 of the family's 1533-position model. The record is from RNAcentral.
CCUACGGGAGGCAGCAGUGGGGGAUAUUGCACAAUGGGGGAAACCCUGAUGCAGCGACGCCGCGUGGGUGAAGAAGCGCCUCGGCGCGUAAAGCCCUGUCAGCAGGGAAGAAAAUGACGGUACCGGAAGAAGAAGCCCCGGCUAACUACGGGCCAGCAGCCGCGGUAAUACGUAGGGGGCAAGCGUUAUCCGGAUUAACUGGGUGUAAAGGGGGAGGAGACGGCGAUGCAGGCCAGGAGUGAAAGCCCGGGGCCCAACCCCGGGACUGCUCUUGGAACUGCGUGGCUAGAGUGCAGGAGGGGCAGGCGGAAUUCCUGGUGUAGCGGUGAAAUGCGUAGAUAUCAGGAGGAACACCGGUGGCGAAGGCGGCCUGCUGGACUGCAACUGACGUUGAGGCCCGAAAGCGUGGGGAGCAAACAGGAUUAGAUACCCCUGUAGUC